AAGUCGUAACAAGGUUUCCGUAGGUGAACCUGCGGAAGGAUCAUUAAUGAAAUGCGAGGACGCUCUCUUUAGAGGUCCGACCCAAUUCAUUUUCUUACACAGUGCACGCUACUACUUUUAAACAACGUUUUAACACUUAAAGUCUAAGGAUGUAAACAGUCUCUUGAUUGAGCAUAAAAUUGAAACAAAACUUUCAGCAACGGAUCUCUUGGCUCUCC
Molecule: unclassified non-coding RNA, 218 nt
Filed under: Sakaguchia lamellibrachiae
Lineage: Eukaryota; Fungi; Basidiomycota; Cystobasidiomycetes; Sakaguchiales; Sakaguchiaceae
Description: partial internal transcribed spacer region
Rfam family: Eukaryotic small subunit ribosomal RNA (bases 1-46)
Source: RNAcentral